CCUCCCGCCGAUCCCUUGGAUAUGCUUAUGUUAACUAUACAAACGCCGCUGAUGCGGCAAGAGCAUUAGAUGGCCUGAACUUCACUCCUCUCAAUGGGAAGGCUAUUCGAAUAAUGUAUUCAAACCGUGACCCCAGUACGCGGAAAAGUGGGGCUGCCAAUAUUUUUAUCAAGAAUCUGGACAAGGCUAUAGACAACAAAUCACUUCAUGAGACCUUUAACUCGUUCGGGAACAUUCUUUCUUGCAAGAUUGCCACAGAUUCAAAUGGUCAAUCUAGAGGCUAUGGGUUUGUCCAAUAUGAGCACGAGGAGUCAGCACAAAAUGCAAUAAACCAGUUAAAUGGCAUGCUUCUCAAUGAUAAACCAGUUUUUGUUGGACCCUUCUUGCGCAAACACGAGAGGG
RNAcentral lists this unclassified non-coding RNA (402 nucleotides) under Hevea brasiliensis (rubber tree). The record is from RNAcentral. Lineage: Eukaryota; Viridiplantae; Streptophyta; Magnoliopsida; Malpighiales; Euphorbiaceae.